AUUGAACGCUGGCGGCAUGCCUUACACAUGCAAGUCGAACGGCAGCACGGGUGCUUGCACCUGGUGGCGAGUGGCGAACGGGUGAGUAAUAUAUCGGAACGUACCUUAUUGUGGGGGAUAACGCAGCGAAAGCUGUGCUAAUACCGCAUAAUCCCUAAGGGGGAAAGCGGGGGACCGUAAGGCCUCGCGCAAUUAGAGCGGCCGAUACCUGAUUAGCUAGUUGGUGAGGUAAAGGCUCACCAAGGCAACGAUCAGUAGCUGGUCUGAGAGGACGAUCAGCCACACUGGGACUGGGACACGGCCCAGACUCCUACGGGAGGCAGCAGUGGGGAAUUUUGGACAAUGGGGGCAACCCUGAUCCAGCAAUGCCGCGUGAGUGAAGAAGGCCUUCGGGUUGUAAAGCUCUUUUGUCAGGGAAGAAACAGCAGCUCUAACACAGUCCGGGAAUGACGGUACCUGAAGAAUAAGCACCGGCUAACUACGUGCCAGCCGCCGCCGUAA
RNAcentral lists this ribosomal RNA (501 nucleotides) under uncultured bacterium. RNAcentral's name for it is "partial 16S ribosomal RNA". It matches the Rfam family "Bacterial small subunit ribosomal RNA", at positions 30 to 523 of the family's 1533-position model. The record is from RNAcentral.